GAUUUGGGUGGUGGUUCCCGGAAAUCUCUUUUGCUGUACUGGCGCAGGUAUCCCUCCCUUUCUUACCCUUAAGUGGGUCCCAGGGCUUGUCAGGCCUGGGUAUUUAGAGAGAAGAUUGGGUGGGGUGUUGCAGUCGUGGCCAUAUUUUAACCUGGCAGAUGGGACGCAUGAUAGUGGCGUAGUUGCUGUCGUCACUACAAGUUUCCGCCCAAGGAGAGCCGCCCAGCGGUUACCGUGACAGCGGGGAACUGAAUGAGGCCUCCUAGAAAGGGUAGAGGCGAUGCUUUUUUACAUGUGGAGAAGGAGGCAGCAGAUAGAUCACCAGUGGACUUUGAGGACCGUGAACUCAGAUCAGAUCACUGCUUGCCCGUGACCCCUUUGCACCGAUGCAACCGGUUUCUGAAGGCCAAGGCUAAGAUGUACAGGAAAAGCACCACAUGUGUCAGAUUAACAGAGAGUAACAAAAGAUGCCAUGUGUAGCCCAGGAGAGCUGGUGACAGGGCCAUGCGUUGGCAUAGGCAGGAGUUUCCACCUCAUUUCUCAGAGAAGCAUUCCCUGGUUGCCUAGGCCAGGGGCUGGAGCCUACCUGUCCUCCUGUUUGCACAGCCUCUCUCAUCACAGACUUACUGGAGCAGCAAGAAGAGACUGCGUGCUUGGAGGUGCUGCCAGGCAGAUGAACACACCUCGGCACCAGGUGGCAUUUCCUAAGGUGCAUCCUGGAUUGGCUUGAGGUCAUACCCAAGAAGUAAAGAGGAAGGGCAGAGGGUGGGUUGGGUACCAACCACUGGUUUCUUUAGGGAAGCAAACAGGAAGGGGUCUUUACAGCUGGAUGUGGAAUCUUCAAACCCACUUUUGGCUCAUUCGCGGGGAGAGGCUGAGCGAUGCCCCUUCUCUGACUUUGAGAAGUGCACCAUGAAGAAAUGGACACAAGGUCUAGAGGACCAAAGGAGACUGAGAAGUAUCUUGAGAGGAGAGCUGAGCUGGGGCCCCUAGACAGCAGCAUCCCCCAGCUCCACUGGUUGACCACAGACAAUGAAGGACAUGCCCUCUUUUGACCCAGGGACCAAAUGACAAGAGGAGGAUGACAGGGAGAUGAGCUGCAGCCCCAGAGAAACCCCACUGGACGUGAGAUUGCAGUAGUUUUGUUUGUUUGUUUAUUGAUAAAAAAAUAUUAAUAGCAAUUAAAAACAAAACAAAACAUUCACAACCCA
Long non-coding RNA from Vicugna pacos (alpaca), 1211 nucleotides. RefSeq lists it as uncharacterized. The record is from RefSeq and is a predicted model, not a curated record. NCBI's taxonomy places the organism in Eukaryota, Metazoa, Chordata, Mammalia, Artiodactyla, Camelidae.